UACGAAGGGGGCUAGCGUUGCUCGGAAUCACUGGGCGUAAAGGGUGCGUAGGCGGGUCUUUAAGUCAGGGGUGAAAUCCUGGAGCUCAACUCCAGAACUGCCUUUGAUACUGAGGAUCUUGAGUUCGGGAGAGGUGAGUGGAACUGCGAGUGUAGAGGUGAAAUUCGUAGAUAUUCGCAAGAACACCAGUGGCGAAGGCGGCUCACUGGCCCGAUACUGACGCUGAGGCUCGAAAGCGUGGGGAGCAAACAGG
This 253-nucleotide ribosomal RNA is filed under the name uncultured bacterium. Its description in RNAcentral is "partial 16S ribosomal RNA". It matches the Rfam family "Bacterial small subunit ribosomal RNA", at positions 524 to 776 of the family's 1533-position model. The record is from RNAcentral.